RNAcentral lists this ribosomal RNA (253 nucleotides) under uncultured bacterium. RNAcentral describes it as "partial 16S ribosomal RNA". It matches the Rfam family "Bacterial small subunit ribosomal RNA", at positions 524 to 776 of the family's 1533-position model. The record is from RNAcentral.
UACAGAGGGUGCAAGCGUUGUUCGGAAUUAUUGGGCGUAAAGGGCGCGUAGGCGGUGCGGUAAGUCUGUAGUGAAAUCUCUGGGCUCAACUCAGAGUCUGCUGCAGAAACUGCCGUGCUUGAGUGUGGGAGAGGUGAGUGGAAUUCCCGGUGUAGCGGUGAAAUGCGUAGAGAUCGGAAAGAACACCAACGGCGAAAGCACUCUGCUGGGCCGACACUGACACUGAGAGACGAAAGCUAGGGGAGCGAAUGGG